UCCUGUGUGGCUCAGUUGGUUGAGCGUGGUGUUUGCAACGCCAUGGUUGGGGGUUCGAUUCCCACGGGGG
This 70-nucleotide transfer RNA is filed under the name Salmo salar (Atlantic salmon). It matches the Rfam family "tRNA". Rfam says of the family: Transfer RNA (tRNA) molecules are approximately 80 nucleotides in length. Their secondary structure includes four short double-helical elements and three loops (D, anti-codon, and T loops). Lineage: Eukaryota; Metazoa; Chordata; Actinopteri; Salmoniformes; Salmonidae. The record is from Rfam by way of RNAcentral.